Molecule: ribosomal RNA, 465 nt
Filed under: uncultured bacterium
Lineage: Bacteria
Description: partial 16S ribosomal RNA
Rfam family: Bacterial small subunit ribosomal RNA
Source: RNAcentral
CCUACGGGAUGCAGCAGUAGGGAAUCUUCCACAAUGGGCGAAAGCCUGAUGGAUCAACGCCGCGUGGGUGAAGAAGGUCUUCGGAUCGUAAAACCCUGUUGUUAGAGAAGAAAGUGCGUGAGAGUAACUGUUCACGUUUCGACGGUAUCUAACCAGAAAGCCACGGCUAACUACGUGCCAGCAGCCGCGGUAAUACGUAGGUGGCAAGCGUUAUCCGGAUUGAUUGGGCGUAAAGGGAACGCAGGCGGUCUUUUAAGUCUGAUGUGAAAGCCUUCGGCUUAACCGGAGUAGUGCAUUGGAAACUGGGAGACUUGAGUGCAGAAGAGGAGAGUGGAACUCCAUGUGUAGCGGUGAAAUGCGUAGAUAUAUGGAAGAACACCAGUGGCGAAAGCGGCUCUCUGGUCUGUAACUGACGCUGAGGUUCGAAAGCGUGGGUAGCAAACAGGAUUAGAUACCCGGGUAGUC